GAUGAAGAACGCAGCGAAGUGCGAUAAGUAAUGUGAAUUGCAGAAUUCAGUGAAUCAUCGAGUCUUUGAACGCACAUUGCGCCCCCUGGUAUUCCGGGGGGCAUGCCUGUCCGAGCGUCAUUGCUGCCCUCAAGCACGGCUUGUGUGUUGGGCCCCCGCCCCCCGGUCCCGGGGGGCGGGCCCGAAAGGCAGCGGCGGCACCGCGUCCGGUCCUCGAGCGUAUGGGGCUUUGUCACCCGCUCUGUAGGCCCGGCCGGCGCCCGCCGGCGACCCCAAUCAAUCUUUUUCAGGUUGACCUCGGAUCAGGUAGGGAUACCCGCUGAACUUAAGCAUAUCAAUAAGCGGAGGA
RNAcentral lists this unclassified non-coding RNA (349 nucleotides) under soil metagenome. Its description in RNAcentral is "partial contains 5.8S ribosomal RNA, internal transcribed spacer 2, and large subunit ribosomal RNA". The stretch from base 1 to 120 matches the Rfam family "5.8S ribosomal RNA", at positions 35 to 154 of the family's 154-position model. The record is from RNAcentral.